This 492-nucleotide ribosomal RNA is filed under the name uncultured bacterium. RNAcentral describes it as "partial 16S ribosomal RNA". It matches the Rfam family "Bacterial small subunit ribosomal RNA", at positions 29 to 507 of the family's 1533-position model. The record is from RNAcentral.
AGUGAACGCUGGCGGUAGGCCUAACACAUGCAAGUCGAACGGCAGCAUAGUAAGAGCUUGCUCUUACGGGUGGCGAGUGGCGGACGGGUGAGGAAUACAUCGGAAUCUACUUUUUCGUGGGGGAUAGCGUAGGGAAACUUACGCUAAUACCGCAUACGACCUACGGGUGAAAGCAGGGGAUCUUCGGACCUUGCGCGAUUGAAUGAGCCGAUGUCGGAUUAGCUAGUUGGCGGGGUAAAGGCCCACCAAGGCGACGAUCCGUAGCUGGUCUGAGAGGAUGAUCAGCCACACUGGAACUGAGACACGGUCCAGACUCCUACGGGAGGCAGCAGUGGGGAAUAUUGGACAAUGGGCGCAAGCCUGAUCCAGCCAUACCGCGUGGGUGAAGAAGGCCUUCGGGUUGUAAAGCCCUUUUGUUGGGAAAGAAAAGCAGCAGGUUAAUACCCCGCUGUUCUGACGGUACCCAAAGAAUAAGCACCGGCUAACUUCGUG